Molecule: long non-coding RNA, 479 nt
Organism: Homo sapiens (human)
Lineage: Eukaryota; Metazoa; Chordata; Mammalia; Primates; Hominidae
Source: Ensembl
AUUUGGCUAAGCUCCUGCAGCUGUUGGGGGCUGCAUCUGACAAGUGGCCGUGGUUUCAAGUCUCUGGAGUCCCAUUUUUUUCUCUUCCAUGGAGUUUGUUUGCUGCAGUUUGAGGAGCCGAGGCAUAUGAUAAAUACCAGGCCUUUGGACUCAGAUGGAAUUAUACCACGGGGUUUCCUGGAUCUCCAGCAUGCAGAUGGUAGAUUGUGGAACUUCUCAGCCUCCAAAAUCGAGUGAGCCAAUUCCCAUCAUAAAUCCCCUCUCCUAUGUCUAUAUAUGUCCUAUUGCUUCUCCUUCUCUGGAGAAUGCUGACUAAUACAGACAUAAUACAGCAGUCUUUGGGGUUGAUGUAUGAGUAUGUGGAGGAAGAACUAGACAUGAAGCAGAGUAUGCUUUCUUUAACAUAACUUUUUCAUUAAAAUAGUUAUAUGUGCUUAGUACAAAAACUUGGAAAAUACAGAAAUGUAGUGAAAAAGGAA